GAAGUUGCAUAAUCACUUGUUUCUUAAAUAGAGACUAGUAUCAACGGCACCACGAAGACUACACGUCUCCUCCAUAAAAUCAAUGAAACUGAUCUCCUCGUGAAGAAGCGAGGAUAUACAUAUAAGACGAGAAGACCCCAUGGAGCUUUAAACGAACUUCAAUUGCUUCUACUAAUACCACAAAAAUUAAGCACUAAUGAUAGAUAGUUUUAGGUUGGGGUGACCGCGGAGUAAAACAAAACCUCCACAAUGAACGUAACAAAAUUCUAAUAAAAGAACUACAACUCUAAUAAUCAACAUAUUGACAUAAAUUGACCCAAAUAUUUGAUCAAUGAACCAAGUUACCCUGGGGAUAACAGCGCAAUCCAUUUUAAGAGCCCUUAUCGACAAAUGGGUUUACGACCUCGAUGUUGGAUCAGGGUAUCCCAGUGGUGCAGCCGCUACUAAUGUGUUCGUUUGUUCAACGAUUAAAACCCUACGUGAUCUGG
Molecule: ribosomal RNA, 488 nt
Filed under: Leptopelis concolor (Witu forest treefrog)
Lineage: Eukaryota; Metazoa; Chordata; Amphibia; Anura; Arthroleptidae
Description: partial 16S ribosomal RNA
Rfam family: Bacterial large subunit ribosomal RNA
Source: RNAcentral